Molecule: RNA transcript, 1204 nt
Organism: Ipomoea nil (Japanese morning glory)
Lineage: Eukaryota; Viridiplantae; Streptophyta; Magnoliopsida; Solanales; Convolvulaceae
Gene name: BUD13 homolog
Exons: 7
Source: RefSeq, a predicted model, not a curated record
AACUAAACAAAAUAGGAAAUUAGGUUCCUGCCUUCUACAGUUCUACGUUCUACUCCUCCUCCGCAGACCGCAGCGACAACCGGCAGCAGCUCCGCCGUCGGCAAGCAGGCCCUCUGUAUCUCCGUGAUUCUUUCGGCAGCACGCAGCAGGCAGAAGCUCGCGAGCUGGGUUGACAGUUCACUGGGAAUUGUUGAUUGAGGCAGAAUGGUGGCUCCAUCAUCUGACUCUACAUCACUGAAUGAGUAUCUGACAAAAUAUGAAAGUGGCUAUGAAGAGGAUGAAAAAGAAAGCUAAAACUGAUGUCUCAGGUGUCAUUAUUGUUGAUGAGGAUCCUGUCUGGCAAAAACCAGUGAAAAUUGACGAGGAAGGGGAUGAUGAUAUGUCACCACCACGGUGUAGACAAAAGCACUGCAACUCUCCUCCACAUGACGUGGAUCUACAAGCCUCUCCAAGGAAGUCACGAUAUCGGUCGCCUGUUAUAGAACAGAGGCAAAAGACUGGUUUGGUUACUGGCAAGGAUGUCAAGGAUGAAAUUGCUAAAACAAAGAAAGACGAGUGGUUGAGGUUUAAAGAGCUGGAUGCUGUAGUUAGUGGCCGAGGUGCUGAACCAGUAUAUCGUGAUAAAGUAACAGGGGAACGGCUGUCAAAGGAAGAGUACUUGCAGUCUCAGAAAAAGAAAGAGAAGGAGAAGCCUAAGGAAAUAAAGCUGGAAUGGGGUAAAGGUUUGGCUCAAAAACGUGAGAUGGAGGCUAGGCUUAAAGAACUGGAAAGUGAGAAGGAGAAACCAUUUGCACGGAGCAGAAAAAGAGAGCGGAGCAGGUUUUGCCUGACAUCGGUGCAGAUGACAAAAUGAAAGAAUCUGGUUUCAUAAUUCCCCAAGAAAUACCCCCUCACAGCUGGAUACGUAGAGGCUUGGAUGCAGCACCCAAUCGCUGUGGUAUCAAACCAGGACGGCACUGGGAUGGGGUUGACCGCAGUAAUGGUUAUGAGAAACAAAUGUUUAACCGUAUGAAUGAGAAGCAGGCGACCGAAAGAGAGGCAUAUCUUUGGUCUGUUGCUGACAUGUGAGGCAUCACUGUUACGCAAUGUACAGUCAUUUUUCAGGGCAACGGAUUGCACAACUGAUUUACUCAUUUAGUUCUACCUGUGUAUUAACAGUGUAUGAUGGUUAUAUACUUAUUAUUGAACAUUUGGCUUAAACAAA